UGAGUAAUGUCUGGGAAACUGCCUGAUGGAGGGGGAUAACUACUGGAAACGGUAGCUAAUACCGCAUAACGUCGCAAGACCAAAGAGGGGGACCUUCGGGCCUCUUGCCAUCAGAUGUGCCCAGAUGGGAUUAGCUAGUAGGUGGGGUAACGGCUCACCUAGGCGACGAUCCCUAGCUGGUCUGAGAGGAUGACCAGCCACACUGGAACUGAGACACGGUCCAGACUCCUACGGGAGGCAGCAUG
This 245-nucleotide ribosomal RNA is filed under the name uncultured bacterium. RNAcentral's name for it is "partial 16S ribosomal RNA". It matches the Rfam family "Bacterial small subunit ribosomal RNA", at positions 107 to 353 of the family's 1533-position model. The record is from RNAcentral.